ACCAAUCUUAAUCUACAAAUAAUGUAACUGUAAUCCUUAAUGAGUAAAGUAUUUUUCCUACCGAAAAUAAUUUCUAACUGACAGGUGUACACUUUCAAACGUCAACUUUCUUUUUAAAUUUGCAAAGUGAAAGCUACUAUGAAAUUGGUUCCAAACAAUACCACAAACUUCCAAGAAGGUAAUACUUCCAACGAAAUUCAAUACUUUUUACUUUAAAUAUGUAACAAUGAGCUGACACUAAAGAAAUUUAAGGGAAAUGUAAGCAAGUACUCGAAAUUAAUUGUUAUUUCUCAAAUUCGAAUAUCUUUGUAAUAAGUCCGUACUACAAAAGAAUGCACAAAAACCUUUUUAAAUUUCAAUUUUACGCAUAAAAGCAACACAAAUCUAAAACAAAUGUUGAAAUUAAAUCUUAGUAUCUAAAAUGAGUGAAAUUUCCUAGCAUGUACUUGGUGCAAAGUACAAAACCACGUUAUUUUUACGGUUGGCAAUAACCUCAAAAAUCAAAAAAUUGCUUGUCACUUUCUCUUCUAAAAAACAUCAAAUAAAUUGCAUCAAACCAGCAAAAUUGCAAUCAAAUCCUCAAAUUACUAUAUCUAAAGACUAUUUAAUGAAUAGAGAGCAACCAAGACUAAACAAAAAGCUGGCGCUGAUGCCCUACUAAAUUAAAUCAUGGAAAGGACCGACCUCAGAAUUUAAACGUUCCUCAGAUGCAGCGGGGUGACAGGCUGCUUUCCCCGGUGAAGCUAGAUGCUGAGCGGAGACGUAGAGCUCAGGGGCCGCGCACGUGGUACCAAAAUGACGUGGCAGAGGUAGAUGGCGUGUUUAAAUUCUUCGCUCCAGGAGGUCUCCAAAACUAAAUUGACUUCUAGGAUUUUUGAAGCUUUUGAGAUAAAUUACUCAACGAAUGAAAUAAAUGAAUGAAUAAAUCAGUAAAUAAAUCCCGGCUCCUGAAAACCGAGAAAAGGUUGUAUUAGCCUUCGCCCUUUAUGGCCUCUAGAAAAGAGAUGAAACCAUUGGAAAUUUGGCUCACCGCACUGGUAGCUGCUAAGCCUUCUGGCGGAGCGCUCCCUUCCCUCGAGCAGGAGUCUCUCUGCAAAGAACCAAAAUUUGGUUAAGAACAAACCCACAACGUCUCGCGCCAUUGUGGAGUUGAUCACCACGAAAUUUAAUUUCUACUCACUCAGUGGAGCUUCCGAAGGACUCAAGCCGUUUCCAUCUUUCAGACCACCAUGCCGAAAGUGUGGCCUUCCCACAAAUUGGGCUCUUGCGAGCGAGUGUCCCCAGAGGGGGUCCCGAAUCAAAUGUGCAUAUCAUUCUCGAAUGAUCUCCAAUAUGGAGUCCCUGAGAGCCCUAACAAAAGGUAAUAGGGUGGCAGUCCCUUGAAGACACAAAUCCCACGAAAAUUCUGUCUGAAUUAUUUAGACAAUAUCACUCCUGAGCCUAAGAAAUAUAUUUUUACCAUUUAA
Cydia fagiglandana is the source of this 1466-nucleotide long non-coding RNA. RefSeq lists it as uncharacterized. The transcript is spliced from 2 exons. NCBI's taxonomy places the organism in Eukaryota, Metazoa, Arthropoda, Insecta, Lepidoptera, Tortricidae. The record is from RefSeq and is a predicted model, not a curated record.